GACAGAGGGGGCAAGCGUUGCUCGGAAUAACUGGGCGUAAAGAGCGCGCAGGCGGUCGGAUAAGUCGAAUGUGAAAGCCCCCGGCUCAACUGGGGAGGGUCAUUCGAUACUGUUCGACUCGAAGGCAGGAGAGGGAAGUGGAAUUCCCGGUGUAGUGGUGAAAUGCGUAGAUAUCGGGAGGAACACCAGUGGCGAAGGCGACUUCCUGGCCUGUUCUUGACGCUGAGGCGCGAAAGCUAGGGGAGCAAACGGG
This 253-nucleotide ribosomal RNA is filed under the name uncultured bacterium. RNAcentral's name for it is "partial 16S ribosomal RNA". It matches the Rfam family "Bacterial small subunit ribosomal RNA", at positions 524 to 776 of the family's 1533-position model. The record is from RNAcentral.